This 924-nucleotide ribosomal RNA is filed under the name Cryphonectria kunmingensis. RNAcentral describes it as "Cryphonectria sp. LL-2022a partial large subunit ribosomal RNA". It matches the Rfam family "Eukaryotic large subunit ribosomal RNA", at positions 39 to 990 of the family's 3401-position model. Lineage: Eukaryota; Fungi; Ascomycota; Sordariomycetes; Diaporthales; Cryphonectriaceae. The record is from RNAcentral.
CACAACAAUAAGCGGAGGAAAAGAAACCAACAGGGAUUGCCCUAGUAACGGCGAGUGAAGCGGCAACAGCUCAAAUUUGAAAUCUGGCUUCGGCCCGAGUUGUAAUUUGCAGAGGAUGUUUCUGGCGCGGUGCCUUCCGAGUUCCCUGGAACGGGACGCCACAGAGGGUGAGAGCCCCGUAUGGUUGGACACCAAGCCUGUGUGAAACUCCUUCGACGAGUCGAGUAGUUUGGGAAUGCUGCUCAAAAUGGGAGGUAAAUCUCUUCUAAAGCUAAAUACCGGCCAGAGACCGAUAGCGCACAAGUAGAGUGAUCGAAAGAUGAAAAGCACCUUGAAAAGGGGGUUAAACAGUACGUGAAAUUGUUGAAAGGGAAGCGCUUGUGACCAGACUUGUGCCGGGCGGUUCAUCCGGGGUUCUCCCCGGUGCACUCCGCCCGGCUCAGGCCAGCAUCGGUUCUCGUUGGGGGAUAAGAACGGUAGGAACGUGGCCCUCCUUCGGGUGGGUGUUAUAGCCUGCCGUACGAUACCCUGACGGGGACCGAGGUUCGCGCUCCGCAAGGAUGCUGGCGUAAUGGUCAUCAGCGACCCGUCUUGAAACACGGACCAAGGAGUCGUCCAUUAGAGCGAGCGUUUGGGUGUCAAACCCGCACGCGUAAUGAAAGUGAAAUUAGGUGAGAGCUUCGGCGCAUCAUCGACCGAUCCUGAUGUUCUCGGAUGGAUUUGAGUAAGAGUUUUAACGGACGGACCCGAAAGACAGUGAACUAUGCUUGUAUAGGGUGAAGCCAGAGGAAACUCUGGUGGAGGCUCGCAGCGGUUCUGACGUGCAAAUCGAUCGUCAAAUAUGAGCAUGGGGGCGAAAGACUAAUCGAACUGUCUAGUAGCUGGUACGCGGUUUUCCCCUCUCUCACUAGAGAGAAAAAAAAA